RNAcentral lists this ribosomal RNA (507 nucleotides) under uncultured Pseudomonadota bacterium. RNAcentral describes it as "bacterial SSU rRNA". It matches the Rfam family "Bacterial small subunit ribosomal RNA", at positions 394 to 896 of the family's 1533-position model. The record is from RNAcentral. Lineage: Bacteria; Pseudomonadati; Pseudomonadota.
CUGCCGCGUGCGGGAAGAAGGCCUUCGGGUGUAAACCGCUUUGUCAGGGAAGAAAUCUUUCGAGCUAAUACCUUGAGAGGAUGACGGUACCUGAAGAAUAAGCACCGGCUAACUACGUGCCAGCAGCCGCGGUAAUACGUAGGGUGCAAGCGUUAAUCGGAAUUACUGGGCGUAAAGCGUGCGCAGGCGGUUGUGCAAGACAGGUGUGAAAUCCCCGGGCUUAACCUGGGAACUGCACUUGUGACUGCACGGCUGGAGUACGGCAGAGGGGGAUGGAAUUCCGCGUGUAGCAGUGAAAUGCGUAGAUAUGCGGAGGAACACCGAUGGCGAAGGCAGUCCCCUGGGCCUGUACUGACGCUCAUGCACGAAAGCGUGGGGAGCAAACAGGAUUAGAUACCCUGGUAGUCCACGCCCUAAACGAUGUCAACUGGUUGUUGGGAAGUUUUCUUCUCAGUAACGUAGCUAACGCGUGAAGUUGACCGCCUGGGGAGUACGGCCGCAAGGUUG